GACGAACGCUGGCGGCGUGCUUAACACAUGCAAGUCGAACGGAAAGGCCCUGCUUUUGUGGGGUGCUCGAGUGGCGAACGGGUGAGUAACACGUGAGUAACCUGCCCUUGACCUUGGGAUAACUUCAGGAAACUGGGGCUAAUACCGGAUAGGAGCUCCUGCUGCAUGGUGGGGGUUGGAAAGUUUCGGCGGUUGGGGAUGGACUCGCGGCUUAUCAGCUUGUUGGUGGGGUAGUGGCUUACCAAGGCUUUGACGGGUAGCCGGCCUGAGAGGGUGACCUGCCACAUUGGGACUGAGAUACGGCCCAGACUCCUACGGGAGGCAGCAGUGGGGAAUAUUGCACAAUGGGCGGAAGCCUGAUGCAGCAACGCCGCGUGCGGGAUGACGGCCUUCGGGUUGUAAACCGCUUUCGCCUGUGACGAAGCGUGAGUGACGGUAAUGGGUAAAGAAGCACCGGCUAACUACGUG
Molecule: ribosomal RNA, 468 nt
Filed under: uncultured bacterium
Lineage: Bacteria
Description: partial 16S ribosomal RNA
Rfam family: Bacterial small subunit ribosomal RNA
Source: RNAcentral